CCUACGGGUGGCAGCAGUGAGGAAUAUUGGUCAAUGGACGAGAGUCUGAACCAGCGAAGUAGCGUGAAGGAUGACUGCCCUAUGGGUUGUAAACUUCUUUUAUAAAGGAAUAAAACGAGGCACGUGUGCCUUUUUGCAUGGAUUUUAUGAAUAAGGAUCGGCGAACUACGGGCAAGCAGCCGCGGUAAUACGGAGGAGCCGAGCGUUAACCGGACGUAGAGGGUUUAAAGGGAGCGUAGAUGGGUUGAUAAGUCUGUUGUGAAAGUUUGCGGCUCAACCGUAAAAUUGCAAUUGAUACUGGCAGUCUUGAGUACAGUUGAGGUAGGCGGAAUUCGUGGUGUAGCGGUGAAAUGCUUAGAUAUCACGAAGAACCCCGAUUGCGAAGGCAGCUUACUAAACUGUGACUGACAUUGAUGCUCGAAAGUGUGGGUAUCAAACAGGAUUAGAUACCCGGGUAGUC
This 460-nucleotide ribosomal RNA is filed under the name uncultured bacterium. RNAcentral describes it as "partial 16S ribosomal RNA". It matches the Rfam family "Bacterial small subunit ribosomal RNA", at positions 338 to 795 of the family's 1533-position model. The record is from RNAcentral.